Neopelma chrysocephalum (saffron-crested tyrant-manakin) is the source of this 174-nucleotide long non-coding RNA. RefSeq lists it as uncharacterized. The transcript has 3 exons. The record is from RefSeq and is a predicted model, not a curated record. Lineage: Eukaryota; Metazoa; Chordata; Aves; Passeriformes; Pipridae.
GGCACCGGAGGGGAGGUGAUCCGGGUGAGUGCCGGUGAGCAAGGGGAUCUGCCACCUUCUCACAGACAGUCCAGUGCUUCAGGGACCCUGCUGGUAAGAGGUCACUGUGGAGGAGAGAGAAUGUGUGCAGCCUCAGAGGGCUGCAGCCACCUGUCAAUUAGGUUUGAUGGUCUU